Molecule: ribosomal RNA, 884 nt
Filed under: Runcina coronata
Lineage: Eukaryota; Metazoa; Mollusca; Gastropoda; Runcinacea; Runcinidae
Description: large subunit ribosomal RNA
Source: RNAcentral
UAAAAAAUUUAUUAUAUUUUCUUUCUUAAAAAUUGAAAAAGAUUUUAUAUUAAAUUUAAUUAGUAUAUCGUACUUUUUGCAUAACGGUUUUUCCAAAAUAAUAGAUAUUAAUUCCCGAAAUAAAAAGAUCUAUAUUAUUUUUUAUUUUAGUAAAUAUACUUAAUGUUGAAUAAUUAAAAUUAUAGUGUAAUAUAGUGAUGAAAUGUUUUCAAUUUUUAUGAUAUCUGGAUACUUAGAAAAGUGUUUAGCACUAAAAUUAAUUUAAUAAUGAUUAAGUUAUUAUAAAUGAGUAAAUUUUAUUAGUUAAUUUUAGUAAUAAUAUUAUUUAAAAUAUAAAAAUUUAACAUUAAUUAAAAUUAGUUCUCUUAAUUAUAAGUUUUAAAAUUUUAUUAGUUUAUGAAAAAAUUAGUUAUUAUAUAAAAUUUUUAUUAGGAAUUCGGCAAAAAUUAACUUCAACUUUUUAUCAAAAACAUAGCUUAAAGAAAUAAAUUUUAAGUUAAACCUGCCCUGUGAAUUUUUUAACGGCUGCGGUACCUUGACCGUACUAAGGUAGCAUAAUCAAUUGGCUUUUAAAUGGAGUCUGGAAUGAAUGGGAAAUUGGAGUUUAACUUUCUUAAAUAAAUUUUAUUGAAUUUACUAUAAAAGUGAAAAAGCUUUUUUUUGAAAAAAGACGAGAAGACCCUUGGAGUUUAAUUAAUAUUUUGUUGGGGCGACAUUGAAAAUAAAACUUUUAUAAUUUUUAAUUACAACUUUUAGUUUUAAUUUAUAAACUACCCAAGGGAUAACAGCAUAAUUCUUUAAUGAGAUUGUGACCUCGAUGUUGGACUAGGAAAAAUAAUAACUAGUAGUUAUUAUUUAAUGUUCUGUUCGAACUUUAUUCUCCU